GUCCAGACUCCUACGGGAGGCAGCAGUGAGGAAUAUUGGUCAAUGGGCGGAAGCCUGAACCAGCCAAGUCGCGUGAGGGAAGAAGGCCCUGCGGGUCGCAGACCUCUUUGGACGGGGAGCAAGGCCGCCGACGUGUCGGCGGAAGGAGAGUACCCGUAGAACAAGCAUCGGCUAACUCCGUGCCAGCAGCCGCGGUAAUACGUAUGGGGCAAGCGUUAUCCGGAUUUACUGGGUGUAAAGGGAGCGCAGGCGGCGGGGCAAGUCAGAUGUGAAAGCCCGGGGCUCAACCCCGGGACUGCAUUUGAAACUGCCGUGCUGGAGUGUCGGAGAGGCAAGUGGAAUUCCUAGUGUAGCGGUGAAAUGCGUAGAUAUUAGGAGGAACCCCAGUGGCGAAGGCGGCUUGCUGGACGAUAACUGACGCUGAGGCUCGAAAGCGUGGGGAGCAAACAGGAUUAGAUACCCCGGUACU
RNAcentral lists this ribosomal RNA (469 nucleotides) under uncultured bacterium. RNAcentral's name for it is "bacterial SSU rRNA". It matches the Rfam family "Bacterial small subunit ribosomal RNA", at positions 329 to 794 of the family's 1533-position model. The record is from RNAcentral.